GGAGAGGUGGCUGAGUGGACUAAAGCGGCCGACUCGAAAUCGGCUGUGCCUUUAUGGCACCGCAGGCUGAAAUACAGUGCAUUUCUGGAUUUCAGGGGAGCGAAGUCAGGAAUUGCUUUGCCAAUGCGACGAGUAAGGAGCAUUGUCUGACAAGGGUGGCGAGAUGGUGAGCCACCCGUAAGCAAUUUCAGCGGGUGGCCGACCCGAGCCGUAGUGGGAGGCGAGGGCGCCAAAUCCUGCCCUCUGGU
RNAcentral lists this transfer RNA (248 nucleotides) under Candidatus Omnitrophota bacterium. RNAcentral describes it as "tRNA-Ser". Lineage: Bacteria; Pseudomonadati; Candidatus Omnitrophota. The record is from RNAcentral.